This is a non-coding RNA of Bactrocera oleae (olive fruit fly), 2021 nucleotides long. The record is from RefSeq and is a predicted model, not a curated record. Lineage: Eukaryota; Metazoa; Arthropoda; Insecta; Diptera; Tephritidae.
UCAAGGAGUUCACCACAGAUGCUCGAGAAACAAAUAAUUAAAAUUGUUUUAAGUUCUCUGAUUUAACAGCAAGAGCCCAUAUAAAGCUGGAUUGAGGGGUAAAUGAGAAAUAAUAUGUUAAUAUAUAAAUCGAAGAGUAUCAAUGUGCACAAAGCUAAUAUAUAUAUACAUAAGUACAUGUGUAUUUAUAUGCAGGUGUUUUUUGGAUUUGAAAACUUCUUCUGUACUAUAUGCAAGUAGUUAGAUUUUUUCUAAGUCUAAUACACAUAUGUAUGUUUUACUGGGGAAAUUUAGAUUUUUUCUAAGUCUAAUGCACAUAUAUGUAUAUGUUUUAUUGCGCCAAAUUGGAAGUUAUAAGGGGAUUCUGCUUUUGAAUUUGAAAACUUCUUGUAUACUAUAUGUUAGUAGUUAGAUUUUUUCUAAGUCUAAUACACAUACGUAUGUUUUACUGGGGAAAGUAAGAUUUUUUCUAAGUCUAAUGCACAUAUGUAUGUUUUAUUGCGCCAAAUUGGAAGUUAUAUGGGGAUUCUGCUUUUGGAUUUGAAAACUUCUUGUAUACUUUAUGCUAGUAGUUAGAUUUAUGUAUGUUUUCCUGGGGAAAGUAAGAUUUUUUCUAAGUCUAAUGCACAUACAUAUGUAUGCUUUAUUGCGCCAAAUUCAAUUGGGACAAAGCUAAUAUAUACAUAUACAUAUAUAUAUUUAUAUGCAGGUGUUUUAUGGUUGGUUGGAAAAGUUCAUGUAUACUAUAUGUAAGUAGUUAGAUUUUUUCUACUAAUACACAUAUGUAUAUUUUACUUGAGAAAUUGCGCCAAAUUGAAAGUUAAAGAGGGAAUUCUGCUUUUGAUUUAAAAAGUUCUUCUGUACUAUAUGCAAGUAGUUACAUUUUUUUCUAAGUCUAAUAUGUCGUUUACUGGGGAAAUUGCGCCAAAAAUUAAAGUUGAAGAAGAAAUCGUCAACGGAAUUUUAGUUCUUAAAGAAUUUCGUCGCGAAAGGUUAAAUUCGUUCUCCAAUUCGAUUUUGCGCUUUUUAGUUUUAUUUAAAAUAAAAUGGCGAGUAAAAAUGUUAGAAAGUGUCGCGAGCGGGAGUGCACGACAGAAUCUUCCAGAAGAUUAUUUUUUUUCCCCAGGAACGAGGAGGACUUCCAGAAGUGGGUGAAAAAAUUUGCAGAUCCCAUCAACACAGGAUUUACCCACCCACAAUGCAUUCGUUUGUAUUAAGCACUUCGAACGAAAUGCAGUGUAUGAAGAAGUUGAAGGCAUAUGCUGUGCCCACCCUCCACCUUGUUAUUGCAGAGAAGCACGCAACACUUUUAGUUUACCGCACGGAAUAAUAACUACAUAAGUAGGUAUUUCACAACUUCUCGAAACUUCUAUGGAAAUGUAUUCUGUCUCUUUUCGACGCAUACAGAAUUUGCUUUUGGAAAAAUUGUAAACAUUGACAGUCAUUUUACUGUUCAUUUGACUGUCAGUGCUGACAUAAUAAAUGUGAGUGGAUUGGUGAAUCCAUCAGCAGCAUGGUAUAAGGGAUAGAGUCCCAUUCACAUUAGUUUCGCUACCUCUGAGGCGUACGUUCAUAAUAAUACCAACAUGGUGGCCAUGGUCGGAAGGCUUCUUAAGUUUCAACCGGAUUUCUCGCCCAGCAGUUUCGAUGAAUCAGGAAACCCCCUCAUUAACAUGCUGUCAAGGCCUCAGUUCGUUUGCAAUUUUGAUUAUUCUCUUUACCACUGAAUUCACGCCUAGAGACACGGUGUCAGUCAGCAGAUCUAACGUACCAAGGAGCAUUAUCUAAAGUGAUACCUAACCCUGUUAUGAUGUGGUAUAGGAGGAAUAUUUAUAUAAUAGCUUAAACACAAUACGGGCGACGACGAAUAUUCGUCGUACUCGGUGGCGCUGUCGGACGGAUUUUCGCCGAGUGUUGCCGCCGUGUAAAACACAAAACGGACGAUUUUCGUCGCAGCUAGUGUAUAUUCAGCGCUCAAAAAUAUCACAAUAAAUGACGAAACCAAACAUAAACAAUCUUAA